UUAGUGCAGUACAUUUUCAUGGUACGGUCAGUACUGUUUAUUUUUGUAAUAAAGUGAACUUAAUUUUUAUAAGUGUUAUAUUUUCAUUCAGUAGUAUUCAGUGGUUAUUAGUAGGUGCUACCCGACUUGGUUAUUGACAUCUGUAAGAUCCACUAUCGGUCAGCCUUUAAAAUAGAUUAAUGUGUAUGACAUGUUCUUCUUUAAUUAAUAAAGAAAUGCACUUGUUGACAACUUGCUGUGGUAUAAGGGGAAUAAAACACUUCAGAAUGUGCAGUUCUACCUUAGGGUGGUAACGGUCACUCCACUUCAUUGGAUCGUUGACUACUUUCCUAUAACCGCAUGUUUAUUCCUUACAUAAAUUAAACAUAAAGCAUGUAGGGGUUCUACAUGCAUGUAGUAUUUGCACAAUUAAUAACCUAUUAGAGUAAUACAUUGUGGUAUAUAAACUGAAUUUUGUGUUUGAUGUGUCUGCAGUGUCCAAAGCCCGUGGUGGUGGCAGUGCAUGGCGUGUGUGUGGGAGCAGGAGUGGAUCUAAUCACAGCCUGUGAUAUUCGUCUAUGCACACAGGAUGCCUUUUUUCAGGUGAAGUCGUGUGUUCCCUGAUAGUCAGUGAUUGCCGGAGCUCUGGAAAUAGCAGGUGAGAUUGCAGGCCGGAGUCCCGUCGCUGUCCAGGGAAUUAAAAUCAACCUCCUCUACUCCUGAGACCACAGUGUAACUGAGAGCCUAGACUACAUGGCUACUUGGAACAUGAACAUGUUGCAGACACAGGAUCUUAUGAAGUCAGCGCAAACAGCCCUGGAAAAGAAGAGUCCGAAAGACGUGCCUUUCUCCAAGCUUUAAAGGAGAAGAUCCAGGGCUGUUGAAGCUGCGGUGGAACUGAGACUUCAUAAUCCACAUAUCUUUAGUUCUUCUUGCUAAGUCUCAGUUUCUUUUUAGUCUUUUUAUUUUUAGACUGGUCAAAAGACUGAUUAGUGGAAGUGAAAUGAUGGAUGAACUUUUAAUUACUUGCUUUAUUAUUUGCAGGUGCUUUGUACAGUAAGACAUAUUUUUUCUGGUGCUGUGUGACUGCAGAAUGUAGUGCAGUUAACACAGUAAAUUUCCUUGGAUGCUCACUUUUAACUUGAGGAGGUCACAGUUUGCCCAGACAUCUUUUAUUUAAAUCCGUCACCCACACGUCAUUCUGGGGGAUGAAGAGGAGGAAGUUGGACAGAUACAUUUAUUUAUUAUUGCUGUUUCCUCAAUCCAGUGCAGAAGGAAGAGAAACAACAGAAUUGAUUUAAAAUAAAAAUAUAGAAAACAAUCUAAUGUAAGGUUCUGAUCCGGUUUGCUUUCAGCAGGAAGGCUGUCCUCUUUCCUGUUGCUCUUUCUCUUCUAUUAGUCCAUUUGUCCAGUCUGAAUCUGUUUGAUUGUUUGAUUCGUUUCGAGACGAUUCGGAGUCAAAUAAUUUUCUAGUGAGAGUCGCACACUUCCAAACGAACUAGACUGAGAUGAGUAUUUGAUUGUCACUAGAAAGUGAUUCGACUCUGAAUCAACUCGAAAUGAAUCAGUCAAACUGAUUCAGACUUGAUAAAAGGACUAUGAGAUGUGAUUAAGAUAUAUAUUCCAAUGUUUUGCUUUACAAUUCCACUGUGUGUGUGCACGCACGUGUGUUUUUCAGGAGAACGAGAAACUCUGACACAAGAGUACAUCUUGACCAUUGGUACUGUGUACACAUCAACAUACACACACGUCUCCAUGCUGGACAUCUCAGGAGCUUUCACACACAGUGCUAGGAAUAUCCCAGGACAGAGAAACGCACCUCCUAAGUGAGCGAGUUUAGCGUCAAACAGUGAAAUUUGCU
Long non-coding RNA from Ictalurus punctatus (channel catfish), 1840 nucleotides. RefSeq lists it as uncharacterized. The record is from RefSeq and is a predicted model, not a curated record. NCBI's taxonomy places the organism in Eukaryota, Metazoa, Chordata, Actinopteri, Siluriformes, Ictaluridae. The transcript is spliced from 4 exons.